AUGGAACUGCCGGGGGGGAACCGCCGGACAGUUCGUGAGGUUUUGGCCCUCUCAAAAGCCAAUAACCCCAAGCUAGUCUUUCUCUGUGAGACUAGGCAAGAAGCAGCUAAAGUGGAGAAGUUGAAGUGGAGAUUAGGCCUAAAAGGCUUUCAUGGUGUUAGCAGUGAUGGACGAAGUGGUGGUCUUGCUUUUCUCUGGGAGGAGACGCUG
This 210-nucleotide ribosomal RNA is filed under the name Triticum aestivum (bread wheat). Its description in RNAcentral is "partial small subunit ribosomal RNA". The record is from RNAcentral. Lineage: Eukaryota; Viridiplantae; Streptophyta; Magnoliopsida; Poales; Poaceae.